Molecule: ribosomal RNA, 423 nt
Filed under: Triticum aestivum (bread wheat)
Lineage: Eukaryota; Viridiplantae; Streptophyta; Magnoliopsida; Poales; Poaceae
Description: partial small subunit ribosomal RNA
Source: RNAcentral
AUGGCACAGCUACUACCACCAAGCCAGGCAUGCAAGAAGGCACCUGCCAGGAGAAUUCCCACUUCCAAACCUAGGAAGGUUGCCACUGGUGAAACAAUGAAGUUCACCAUUGAGUCUGAUGAAGAAGCUGCUGGCCAAGAUAAGAAGAAGAAGAGAGUCAGAACUACUACUGCCAAAGUCCUUGGCAAGCCCUCUAUGAGGAGAUCUUCUGAUGAGGAAGAAGAAGAGGAAGAGGAUGCUGCACCAGCUCCUAAAGCUCAGAAGCUAAUGGGAGAUGUAAUCAAGUCAGGGGCUGCUCCAUCUAAGCCCAAAGAUGCUCCCAAGGCUGCUGCUCCAGCACCAAAGCCUAAACCCAAGAGGAACACCAGAAAUAUUCCUGCAUCUGAGAAGAACAAGGCCCCAGUGCCUGAAGCUACUGAGUAA